GAUGAACGCUGGCGGCGUGCCUAAUACAUGCAAGUCGAGCGAACAGACGAGGAGCUUGCUCCUCUGACGUUAGCGGCGGACGGGUGAGUAACACGUGGAUAACCUACCUAUAAGACUGGGAUAACUUCGGGAAACCGGAGCUAAUACCGGAUAAUAUAUUGAACCGCAUGGUUCAAUAGUGAAAGACGGUUUUGCUGUCACUUAUAGAUGGAUCCGCGCCGCAUUAGCUAGUUGGUAAGGUAACGGCUUACCAAGGCAACGAUGCGUAGCCGACCUGAGGGGGGGAUCGACCACCGGGGAGCGAGGACGCGGCCACACCCCCGAGGUGAGACAGGGGGAGGGAUUUUUCCGGAGGGGGCAAAGGCGUAAGGGGGAAACGCGGCGGAAGGGUGAAAGGGCUUCGAGUCGUAAAACUUUGUUAUUAGGGAAGAACAAAGGUGUAAUAAACUGGGCACGUCUGAACGUAACCUAAGAAGAAGCCCCGGCUAACCUCGGG
Molecule: ribosomal RNA, 496 nt
Filed under: uncultured bacterium
Lineage: Bacteria
Description: partial 16S ribosomal RNA
Rfam family: Bacterial small subunit ribosomal RNA
Source: RNAcentral